CUGAACCAGCCAAGUAGCGUGAAGGAUGACUGCCCUAUGGGUUGUAAACUUCUUUUAUACGGGAAUAAAGUGAGGCACGUGUGCUUUUUUGUAUGUACCGUAUGAAUAAGGAUCGGCUAACUCCGUGCCAGCAGCCGCGGUAAUACGGAGGAUCCGAGCGUUAUCCGGAUUUAUUGGGUUUAAAGGGAGCGUAGGCGGACGCUUAAGUCAGUUGUGAAAGUUUGCGG
Molecule: ribosomal RNA, 227 nt
Filed under: uncultured Bacteroides sp.
Lineage: Bacteria; Pseudomonadati; Bacteroidota; Bacteroidia; Bacteroidales; Bacteroidaceae
Description: partial 16S ribosomal RNA
Rfam family: Bacterial small subunit ribosomal RNA
Source: RNAcentral